Molecule: ribosomal RNA, 486 nt
Filed under: uncultured bacterium
Lineage: Bacteria
Description: partial 16S ribosomal RNA
Rfam family: Bacterial small subunit ribosomal RNA
Source: RNAcentral
AUUGAACGCUGGCGCCAUGCCUUACACAUGCAAGUCGAACGGCAGCACGGGUGCUUGCCCCUGGUGGCGAGUGGCGAACGGGUGAGUAAUACAUCGGAACAUGUCCUGUAGUGGGGGAUAGCCCGGCGAAAGCCGGAUUAAUACCGCAUACGAUCUACGGAUGAAAGCGGGGGACCUUCGGGCCUCGCGCUAUCGGGUGGGCCGAUGGCUGAUUAGCUAGUUGGUGGGGUAAAGGCCUACCAAGGCGACGAUCAGGAGCUGGUCUGAGAGGACGACCAGUCCCACUGGGACUGAGACACGGCCCAGACUCCUACGGGAGGCAGCAGUGGGGAAUUUUGGACAAUGGGCGAAAGCCUGAUCCAGCAAUGCCGCGUGUGUGAAGAAGGCCUUCGGGUUGUAAAGCACUUUUGUCCGGAAAGAAAUCCUUGGCCCUAAUACGGUCGGGGGAUGACGGUACCGGAAGAAUAAGCACCGGCUAACUACGUG